GACGAACGCUGGCGGCGUGCUUAACUCAUGCAAGUCGAACGGAAAGGCCCUGCUUUUGUGGGGUGCUCGAGUGGCGAACGGGUGAGUAACACGUGAGUAACCUGCCCUUGACUUUGGGGUAACUUCAGGAAACUGGGGCUAAUACCGGAUAGGAGCUCCUGCUGCAUGGUGGGGGUUGGAAAGUUUCGGCGGUUGGGGAUGGACUCGCGGCUUAUCAGCUUGUUGGUGGGGUAGUGGCUUACCAAGGCUUUGACGGGUAGCCGGCCUGAGAGGGUGACCGGCCACAUUGGGACUGAGAUACGGCCCAGACUCCUACGGGAGGCAGCAGUGGGGAAUAUUGCACAAUGGGCGGAAGCCUGAUGCAGCAACGCCGCGUGCGGGAUGACGGCCUUCGGGUUGUAAACCGCUUUCGCCUGUGACGAAGCGUGAGUGACGGUAAUGGGUAAAGAAGCACCGGCUAACUACGUG
This 468-nucleotide ribosomal RNA is filed under the name uncultured bacterium. RNAcentral describes it as "partial 16S ribosomal RNA". It matches the Rfam family "Bacterial small subunit ribosomal RNA", at positions 28 to 507 of the family's 1533-position model. The record is from RNAcentral.